RNAcentral lists this unclassified non-coding RNA (343 nucleotides) under soil metagenome. RNAcentral describes it as "partial contains 5.8S ribosomal RNA, internal transcribed spacer 2, and large subunit ribosomal RNA". The stretch from base 1 to 120 matches the Rfam family "5.8S ribosomal RNA", at positions 35 to 154 of the family's 154-position model. The record is from RNAcentral.
GAUGAAGAACGUAGCGAAAUGCGAUACGUAAUGUGAAUUGCAGAAUUCCGUGAAUCAUCGAAUCUUUGAACGCACAUUGCGCCCGCUAGUAUUCUGGCGGGCAUGCCUGUCCGAGCGUCAUUUCAACCCUCAAGCCCCCGGGCUUGGUGUUGGGGAUCGGCGAGCCUCCGCGCCCGCCGUCCCCUAAAUCUAGUGGCGGUCUCGCUGUAGCUUCCUCUGCGUAGUAGCACACCUCGCACUGGGAAACAGCGCGGCCACGCCGUUAAACCCCCAACUUCUGAACGUUUGACCUCGGAUCAGGUAGGAAUACCCGCUGAACUUAAGCAUAUCAAUAAGCGGAGGA